Molecule: long non-coding RNA, 1289 nt
Filed under: Lactuca sativa (garden lettuce)
Lineage: Eukaryota; Viridiplantae; Streptophyta; Magnoliopsida; Asterales; Asteraceae
Description: long non-coding RNA (LSAT_LNC002937)
Source: RNAcentral
UCCAAGACACAUCUGAUUAGAGCAUUUUGAAACUAUUUCUACCAUCAGAGCAGUACUAAUUUUCACACAAGCAAAACCACAAACACCUUGCGUGCAAAUUUAUCAACCAUUUUCCAUACUCUUCAAAGUCACGUGUUUGAGCCAGCAGUUGGCAACUCACAAACAGGUCGAGGUGGAGAUGGAGGCGGAGGCUAGUGUCUAUGUUUAUCAUAAGCCCACUGUUAAAAGAUCCAUGUUAAGGAUAAUUCUAUAACAGGAAUGAUACCGAGUAAAUUGGCAGAUAGUAGGGGGUGUUUGGCUAAGCUUUUGAAAGGCAAAAGUCCUUUUAGGAAAAGUUGCAAAAAAUCAGGAUUCUGUAACUUUUCCAAAAAGUACAUUUUUCCUUAUAUAAAAAAGUAACUUUUACAACAUUGCCAAAUAUCUUUUGCCUUUUUAUCUUUUCCUAAAAACUAAAAGUUAUUUUUAAAGAUAAAACAAGCACCCCGUAGUAGAGCUUACCCUUGGUUUCUUCUUCUGUUUUUCUUCAUCUGUUUUUUUUACCUUCAUUUCUUCUUGUAUCAAUGCAAAUGCUUCAUCAAUUAUUUCUUCUUCUGUUUUUAUGAUAUUAUCAGAAUUGAGAAACAAUUUAAGUGACAUAGUAUUGAAUGAAAUGACAUAACCAUAGAUGGAAAUGUUUUAAGUAAAAUUAAGAAGAAAUUGAUGUAUCUGUUUUGUUUGAAAAUGAAAAAUUACGUUCAUUCUUGUAUCAAUGCGAAUUCAUUCAUCAAUUAUAGCUCCUAAUGCCAUUGGUAUGAAUUCAACUUUGGAAUUAUGAAAACUACUCGCACUAUCAAUACUUACACCAAUCAUUUACGAACAAGUUAAAAAGUAAAUUACUAAAAUCGUUCCUAUGGUUUUGUCAAAAUUUCAUGUUUGGUCCCUAACUUUUUCUUUGCACUCGGACCAUCCCUAUGGUUUGAUUUCGUUGCGUUUUUCGUCCCUAUGGUUUGGUCAAAAUUGCACGUUUGGUCCUUAAUUUUAUGUAUGUAAGGGACGAAAAACGCAACAAAAUCAAACCAUAGGGACGAUCCGAGUGCAAAAAAAAAAGUUAGGGACCAAACGUGAAAUUCUAACCAAACCAUAGGGACGAUUUUAGUAAUUUACUCAAGUUAAAAUUAAAAAAAGAAUUAAACUAUAAGGAUCUGUGACUCUGCAGAUAGCAUAAAAGAAACCAACCUUACACACCCGAUGGCAUAUGCAUUAGCAUUGAAUGCUACAAUUGUGAAUCAUAAGGGUGGGUCAUGAAUCCU